AGUUAUCUUCGGAUAAUGAGACCGGCGCACGGGUGCGUAACGCGUAUGCAAUCUACCUUUCACAGAGGGAUAGCCCAGAGAAAUUUGGAUUAAUACCUCAUAGUAUAGUAGUCUCGCAUGAGACCACUAUUAAAGAUUUAUCGGUGAAAGAUGAGCAUGCGUCCCAUUAGUUAGUUGGUAAGGUAACGGCUUACCAAGACUACGAUGGGUAGGGGUCCUGAGAGGGAGAUCCCCCACACUGGUACUGAGACACGGACCAGACUCCUACGGGAGGCAGCAGUGAGGAAUAUUGGACAAUGGGCGCAAGCCUGAUCCAGCCAUGCCGCGUGCAGGAUGACGGUCCUAUGGAUUGUAAACUGCUUUUAUACAGGAAGAAACACUGGUUCGUGAACCAGCUUGACGGUACUGUAAGAAUAAGGAUCGGCUAACUCCGUGCCAGCAGCCGCGGUAAUACGGAGGAUCCAAGCGUUAUCCGGAAUCAUUGGGUUUAAAGGGUCCGUAGGCGGUCAGAUAAGUCAGUGGUGAAAGCCCAUCGCUCAACGGUGGAACGGCCAUUGAUACUGUCUGACUUGAAUUAUUAGGAAGUAACUAGAAUAUGUAGUGUAGCGGUGAAAUGCUUAGAGAUUACAUGGAAUACCAAUUGCGAAGGCAGGUUACUACUAAUAUAUUGACGCUGAUGGACGAAAGCGUGGGUAGCGAACAGGAUUAGAUACCCUGGUAGUCCACGCCGUAAACGAUGGAUACUAGCUGUUGGGAGCRAUCUCAGUGGCUAAGCGAAAGUGAUAAGUAUCCCGCCUGGGGAGUACGAACGCAAGUUUGAAACUCAAAGGAAUUGACGGGGGCCGCACAAGCGGUGGAGCAUGUGGUUUAAUUCGAUGAUACGCGAGGAACCUUACCAAGGCUUAAAUGUAGAUUGACCGGUUUGGAAACAGACUUUUCGCAAGACAAUUUACAAGGUGCUGCAUGGUUGUCGUCAGCUCGUGCCGUGAGGUGUCAGGUUAAGUCCUAUAACGAGCGCAACCCCUGUUGUUAGUUGCCAGCGAGUCAUGUCGGGAACUCUAACAAGACUGCCAGUGUAAACUGUGAGGAAGGUGGGGAUGACGUCAAAUCAUCACGGCCCUUACGCCUUGGGCUACACACGUGCUACAAUGGACGGUACAGAGAGCAGCCACUGGGCAACCAGGAGC
Molecule: ribosomal RNA, 1187 nt
Filed under: Pseudomonas lundensis
Lineage: Bacteria; Pseudomonadati; Pseudomonadota; Gammaproteobacteria; Pseudomonadales; Pseudomonadaceae
Description: bacterial SSU rRNA
Rfam family: Bacterial small subunit ribosomal RNA
Source: RNAcentral